CAGCCGCCACGGGAAUACGAAGGGGGCUAGCGUUGCUCGGAAUGACUGGGCGUAAAGGGCGCGUAGGCGGCAUACACAGUCAGGCGUGAAAUUCCUGGGCUCAACCUGGGGGCUGCGUUUGAUACGUGUAGGCUAGAGUGGGGAAGAGGGUUGUGGAAUUCCCAGUGUAGAGGUGAAAUUCGUAGAUAUUGGGAAGAACACCGGUGGCGAAGGCGGCAACCUGGUCCUUGACUGACGCUGAGGCGCGAAAGCGUGGGGAGCAAACAGGAUUAGAUACCCGCGUAGUCCCUGUCUCUUAUAC
Molecule: ribosomal RNA, 301 nt
Filed under: uncultured bacterium
Lineage: Bacteria
Description: partial 16S ribosomal RNA
Rfam family: Bacterial small subunit ribosomal RNA
Source: RNAcentral